GGUAACGGCUCACCAUGGCAAUGAUACGUAGCCGACCUGAGAGGGUAAUCGGCCACAUUGGGACUGAGACACGGCCCAAACUCCUACGGGAGGCAGCAGUAGGGAAUCUUCCACAAUGGACGAAAGUCUGAUGGAGCAACGCCGCGUGAGUGAAGAAGGGUUUCGGCUCGUAAAACUCUGUUGUUAAAGAAGAACAUAUCUGAGAGUAACUGUUCAGGUAUUGACGGUAUUUAACCAGAAAGCCACGGCUAACUACGUGCCAGCAGCCGCGGUAAUACGUAGGUGGCAAGCGUUGUCCGGAUUUAUUGGGCGUAAAGCGAGCGCAGGCGGUUUUUUAAGUCUGAUGUGAAAGCCUUCGGCUCAACCGAAGAAGUGCAUCGGAAACUGGGAAACUUGAGUGCAGAAGAGGACAGUGGAACUCCAUGUGUAGCGGUGAAAUGCGUAGAUAUAUGGAAGAACACCAGUGGCGAAGGCGGCUGUCUGGUCUGUUAACUGACGCUGAGGCUCGA
Molecule: ribosomal RNA, 509 nt
Filed under: Lactiplantibacillus plantarum
Lineage: Bacteria; Bacillati; Bacillota; Bacilli; Lactobacillales; Lactobacillaceae
Description: bacterial SSU rRNA
Rfam family: Bacterial small subunit ribosomal RNA
Source: RNAcentral